This 440-nucleotide ribosomal RNA is filed under the name uncultured bacterium. RNAcentral's name for it is "bacterial SSU rRNA". It matches the Rfam family "Bacterial small subunit ribosomal RNA", at positions 338 to 770 of the family's 1533-position model. The record is from RNAcentral.
CCUACGGGCGGCAGCAGUAGGGAAUAUUGCGCAAUGGGGGAAACCCUGACGCAGCAACGCCGCGUGAGUGAGGAAGGUCUUCGGAUUGUAAAACUCUUUUAUCUGGGAAAAAUGUGCAUGGAGCUAAUACCCCAUGCAGUGAUGGUACCAGAUGAAUAAGCACCGGCUAACUUCGUGCCAGCAGCCGCGGUAAUACGAAGGGUGCAAGCGUUAUUCGGAAUCAUUGGGCGUAAAGCGCGCGCAGGCGGAUUUGUAAGUCAGGUGUGAAAUCUCGGGGCUCAACCCCGAAACUGCGCCUGAAACUACAAGUCUAGAAUGUCGGAGGGGGCAGGGGAAUUUCACGUGUAGGGGUAAAAUCCGUAGAGAUGUGAAGGAACACCGGAGGCGAAGGCGCCUGCCUGGACGACUAUUGACGCUGAGGCGCGAAAGCGUGGGGAGCA